GAUGAACGCUGGCGGCGUGCCUAAUACAUGCAAGUCGAGCGAACAGACGAGGAGCUUGCUCCUCUGACGUUAGCGGCGGACGGGUGAGUAACACGUGGAUAACCUACCUAUAAGACUGGGAUAACUUCGGGAAACCGGAGCUAAUACCGGAUAAUAUAUUGAACCGCAUGGUUCAAUAGUGAAAGACGGUUUUGCUGUCACUUAUAGAUGGAUCCGCGCCGCAUUAGCUAGUUGGUAAGGUAACGGCUUACCAAGGCAACGAUGCGUAGCCGACCUGAGAGGGUGAUCGGCCACACGGGACCUGAGACACGGUCCAGCCUCCUCCGGGAGGCAGCAGUAGGGAAUCUUCCGCAAUGGGCGAAAGCCUGACGGAGCAACGCCGCGUGAGUGAUGAAGGUCUUCGGAUCGUAAAACUCUGUUAUUAGGGAAGAACAAAUGUGUAAGUAACUAUGCACGUCUUGACGGUACCUAAUCAGAAAGCCACGGCUAACUACGUG
Molecule: ribosomal RNA, 497 nt
Filed under: uncultured bacterium
Lineage: Bacteria
Description: partial 16S ribosomal RNA
Rfam family: Bacterial small subunit ribosomal RNA
Source: RNAcentral